CCCGCUCAGAAACUCAAAGGAAUUGACGGGGGCCCGCACAAGCGGUGGAGCAUGUGGUUUAAUUCGAUGAUACGCGAGGAACCUUACCUGGGCUCAAAUGUAUGUUGACGUAUUCUGAAAGGGAUACUUCUUCGGACAAUAUACAAGGUGCUGCAUGGUUGUCGUCAGCUCGUGCCGUGAGGUGUCGGGUUAAGUCCCAUAACGAGCGCAACCCCUAUCAUUAGUUGCCAUCAGGUAAUGCUGGGGACUCUAAAGGAACUGCCUACGCAAGUAGUGAGGAAGGCGGGGAUGACGUCAAAUCAGCACGGCCCUUACGUCCAGGGCUACACACGUGCUACAAUGGCCGAUACAGAGGGCAGCUACCUGGUGACAGGAUGCAAAUCUCCAAAGUCGGUCUCAGUUCGGAUCGGAGUCUGCAACCCGACUCCGUGAAGUUGGAUUCGCUAGUAAUCGCGCAUCAGCCAUGGCGCGGUGAAUACGUUCCCGGGCCUU
Molecule: ribosomal RNA, 492 nt
Filed under: uncultured Sphingobacteriales bacterium
Lineage: Bacteria; Pseudomonadati; Bacteroidota; Sphingobacteriia; Sphingobacteriales
Description: bacterial SSU rRNA
Rfam family: Bacterial small subunit ribosomal RNA
Source: RNAcentral